UACAGAGGGGGCAAGCGUUAUUCGGAAUUAUUGGGCGUAAAGGGCGCGUAGGCGGCCUGGCAAGUGGAAGGUGAAAUCCCUCGGCUUAACCGAGGAAGUGCACCCGAAACUGGGUAGCUAGAGUGCAAAAGAGGGUCGCGGAAUUCCCGGUGUAGAGGUGAAAUUCGUAGAUAUCGGGAGGAACACCGGUGGCGAAGGCGGCGACCUGGGUUGACACUGACGCUGAGGCGCGAAAGCGUGGGGAGCAAACAGG
RNAcentral lists this ribosomal RNA (253 nucleotides) under uncultured bacterium. RNAcentral's name for it is "partial 16S ribosomal RNA". It matches the Rfam family "Bacterial small subunit ribosomal RNA", at positions 524 to 776 of the family's 1533-position model. The record is from RNAcentral.